UGACUUAUGGUUCUGUUAGUGACUAUGAGUUCAGACAGUGUUUUCAGUUGACCUUAAGUUGGAUUUGGGUUCUGAUUUUGACUGAAGCUUCGACCUAGUGAUCGGAGAUUGCACAACCAGCCAGUCUAGUCUGCAUCAUGUGCAUCAUAGCAUAUUUAUUUUUUCAAAAGAAACGCAGUAAAAAAAAAUUGAAAAAAAUCAAAAAAAAGAGAAGAA
This 216-nucleotide long non-coding RNA is filed under the name Lathyrus oleraceus (garden pea). RNAcentral describes it as "Pisum sativum (pea) long non-coding RNA (PSAT_LNC040127)". Lineage: Eukaryota; Viridiplantae; Streptophyta; Magnoliopsida; Fabales; Fabaceae. The record is from RNAcentral.